AUACAGCUGAUGAGUCCUAAACAGGACGAAACGCUUGUACAAUAU
RNAcentral lists this non-coding RNA (45 nucleotides) under Schistosoma margrebowiei. The record is from RNAcentral. Lineage: Eukaryota; Metazoa; Platyhelminthes; Trematoda; Strigeidida; Schistosomatidae.